CCUCAAUGUGAAUCCCACAUUAUCCAUUGGUCCCGAGCUUCAUGAUGAGCACUGUAUAUUUGUAAUAUAGACUCUGUAAAUGAAUACCCCCAAGCUGAGUUCCACAUUCUUCCUUUGUCAUGAGACUCUCUGUUCACAUGAUAAAUGCUGUAAUAGAUGCCUUCACCCCUGGUCAUCUGGUGCAUGGAGCAUAGGGAGCAAUCAUUGAGGCUCCCUGAGUGAUGUUCCUUUUCCGGCCCUCGAGACCACAGUUAACUUAUGUAUCAGGAACACAGAGAUCAGAAAAGCCCAACAAUGGAUGUCUGCUGCCUGGUCCUGAGCUCUAAGGUUGCCUGUGCCAUCAGGGUUACAGCUACAAUCGGAUCAGGGAAGCCUAUGGAAGAGGAGGAGGAAAAAGUUGUAAGAACCGGUGAGAAUGGAAGACACCAAGGAUUCAAGCCCUUCUAGACACAGCAGGACUGAUGCAAAUAUGAAUGAACUCAUAGACUUUUGCUACAUGCCCAGAGCCUACAACGGGGCCCCAGCGCUCUGAGGGGAAGUGUAUAUAACCCCAUAUCCCUAAUCUGGAAGCUGUGUCCAAUUCAUAAACUCUUUCAAAGGAAACUCUUUCUCCGAUGGACUCUCACUGGACAUAUAAACACCCUUUAAGAUGAUACACUAUGCGCAUGCCAACACAAUAUGAACUCGAUGACAUUCUUGGAAGCUUUUGUGGCAUACAAUGCUUUGUCUGGGUAGUGACUUUUAACCUACUGACAUUUUGCUUGUAUAUUGUGGUUCCUGAUUUCUUUUUUGUGAAUUUUCUAUGUGUGGUAAUGCAUGUGUCUUACUCUCUAUAACAGUUUCUGGUGAUUAUUCAUUCUACUGAGAGAAU
This is a long non-coding RNA of Phodopus roborovskii (desert hamster), 871 nucleotides long. RefSeq lists it as uncharacterized. The record is from RefSeq and is a predicted model, not a curated record. NCBI's taxonomy places the organism in Eukaryota, Metazoa, Chordata, Mammalia, Rodentia, Cricetidae. The transcript is spliced from 6 exons.